CCUACGGGGGGCUGCAGUGAGGAAUAUUGGUCAAUGGGCGAGAGCCUGAACCAGCCAAGUCGCGUGAGGGAGUACUGCCCUAUGGGUUGUAAACCUCUUUUGUCGGGGAGCAAAAGCCGGACGUGUCCGGCUGUGAGAGUACCCGAAGAAAAAACAUCGGCUAACUCCGUGCCAGCAGCCGCGGUAAUACGGAGGAUGCGAGCGUUAUCCGGAUUUAUUGGGGUUAAAGGGUGCGCAGGCGGAUUUUUAAGUCAGCGGUCAAAUCGUGGGGCUCAACCCCAUCCAGCCGUUGAAACUGGGGAUCUAGAGUGUGCGAGAGGUAUGCGGAAUGCGUGGUGUAGCGGUGAAAUGCAUAGAUAUCACGCAGAACCCCGAUUGCGAAGGCAGCAUACCGGUGCACAACUGACGCUCAGGCACGAAAGCGUGGGUAUCGAACAGGAUUAGAUACCCUGGUAGUC
Molecule: ribosomal RNA, 458 nt
Filed under: uncultured bacterium
Lineage: Bacteria
Description: partial 16S ribosomal RNA
Rfam family: Bacterial small subunit ribosomal RNA
Source: RNAcentral